RNAcentral lists this ribosomal RNA (433 nucleotides) under uncultured bacterium. Its description in RNAcentral is "partial 16S ribosomal RNA". It matches the Rfam family "Bacterial small subunit ribosomal RNA", at positions 28 to 507 of the family's 1533-position model. The record is from RNAcentral.
GACGAACGCUGGCGGCGUGCCUAACACAUGCAAGUCGAACGGGAGGGUCCGGCCUUGGGGCGCACCGGUACGUGACGAGGGGGGACCAACCCGUAGGUUCGCUGUCCCUCCCCGUAGGGGAUCCUCAUGCAAGUGAGUGUAUUAGGGCCAAGGAGUUAUCGCGGUUGGGUGGGCGCGCGUUGGAUUCGCUGGUUGGUAGGGGAAAAGCCUGCCAAGGCGACGAUGCUUGGCUGGUCUGUGAGCAUGACCAGCAACACUUGGAGUGCGACGCGGCCCAGAAUCCUACGGGAGGGAGCAGUGGGGAAUAUUGGACAAUGGGCGAAAGCGUGAUCCAGCAAUGCCGCGUGAGUGAUGAAGGCCUUAGGGUUGUAAAGCUCCUUUACCCGGGAUGAUAAUGACAGUACCGGGAGAAUAAGCUCCGGCUAACUCCGUG